CAGUAGCCACGGGAAUACAGAGGGUGCGAGCGUUAAUCGGAUUUACUGGGCGUAAAGCGUGCGUAGGCGGCUUCUUAAGUCGGAUGUGAAAUCCCUGAGCUUAACUUAGGAAUUGCAUUCGAUACUGGGAAGCUAGAGUAUGGGAGAGGAUGGUAGAAUUCCAGGUGUAGCGGUGAAAUGCGUAGAGAUCUGGAGGAAUACCGAUGGCGAAGGCAGCCAUCUGGCCUAAUACUGACGCUGAGGUACGAAAGCAUGGGGAGCAAACAGGAUUAGAUACCCCUGUAGUCCCUGUCUCUUAUAC
RNAcentral lists this ribosomal RNA (301 nucleotides) under uncultured bacterium. Its description in RNAcentral is "partial 16S ribosomal RNA". It matches the Rfam family "Bacterial small subunit ribosomal RNA", at positions 509 to 807 of the family's 1533-position model. The record is from RNAcentral.